AGUCGAGCGAGAUCUUCGGAUCUAGCGGCGGACGGGUGAGUAACGCGUGGGGAUGUGCCCUUUGCUACGGAAUAGUCCCGGGAAACUGGGUUUAAUACCGUAUGAGCCCUUCGGGGGAAAGAUUUAUCGGCAAAGGAUCAACCCGCGUUGGAUUAGGUAGUUGGUGGGGUAAUGGCCUACCAAGCCGACGAUCCAUAGCUGGUUUGAGAGGAUGAUCAGCCACACUGGGACUGAGACACGGCCCAGACUCCUACGGGAGGCAGCAGUGGGGAAUCUUAGACAAUGGGGGAAACCCUGAUCUAGCCAUGCCGCGUGAACGAUGAAGGCCUUAGGGUUGUAAAGUUCUUUCAGCUGGGAAGAUAAUGACGGUACCAGCAGAAGAAGCCCCGGCUAACUCCGUGCCAGCAGCCGCGGUAA
Molecule: ribosomal RNA, 417 nt
Filed under: uncultured Thioclava sp.
Lineage: Bacteria; Pseudomonadati; Pseudomonadota; Alphaproteobacteria; Rhodobacterales; Paracoccaceae
Description: bacterial SSU rRNA
Rfam family: Bacterial small subunit ribosomal RNA
Source: RNAcentral